Rattus rattus (black rat) is the source of this 797-nucleotide long non-coding RNA. RefSeq lists it as uncharacterized. Lineage: Eukaryota; Metazoa; Chordata; Mammalia; Rodentia; Muridae. The transcript has 2 exons. The record is from RefSeq and is a predicted model, not a curated record.
AUUUAAAAUUACGUCGCUGGCUCUAACAGUUAUUCACUCUCAGACUAUGUAACAGGAGUGUUCUCUGUAAGGCUCAUGACGUUCACAACACAACGUACCAUCUGGAGACGCCAGACACUUCUGUGCUCUAGCAACAUCAACUUCACAAGCAGAGAAGGGAAAUACCGACAAGUGGUAAGAAACUGCGAAUUGCAGCUUGUUUAAACAGUUUGCUAUUGGUAUAUCAGUGCCUAAUCUCAACACUGUUUAGUGAAGAGUCCACUCUCUAAAGGCAACUCAACAUAACGCCGUGGGAAAAAGUUGCUUGGAGACUGAAUAAACUUCUCCGCCCUCUACCUGCUGACCACCGCCCACACUCCUGUAGAGUGCAGCGGCAUCCAGAAGCAAAGCUUGCAUAUUCUUGCCAAAUGACUUCCUAACUUCGCUUGAAAGCGCUUAGUUUUUCAGCUCGCAAAAACUCUUCAGGGACAACGGUUAAGAAGUACGUGGAACUCAAAAUUGAGGGGGCAGAUUCUGGAGCGGAGGAUGAAAUUCACACGUUCCAGGAAUCAGUAUCAUUGUGCAACAUCAGGGCAGCAGUUCUGGUCACCACGUGGAUUUGUAAACACAGAAAAGUAGCAGCAGCUGCCAGUGUGCAAGUCACCAAAAGUCUCACUGAGAACCCACAUGGCAUUGAAUGUUUUCAGUGCCUUUAACAAGACAAGCUCCUGAAUUAAAGACUAUUUUGUGAAAAGAGGUUUCAUUGUCUUGUUCUACACCAGAAAUAAAGCAUUUCCAAUCCUGUUGUUUUAAAAUAA